RNAcentral lists this ribosomal RNA (253 nucleotides) under uncultured bacterium. RNAcentral's name for it is "partial 16S ribosomal RNA". It matches the Rfam family "Bacterial small subunit ribosomal RNA", at positions 524 to 776 of the family's 1533-position model. The record is from RNAcentral.
UACGGAGGGUGCAAGCGUUGUCCGGAUUCAUUGGGUUUAAAGGGUGCGUAGGCGGAUUGGUAAGUCAGUGGUGAAAGGCAGCGGCUCAACCGUUGAGUUGCCAUUGAUACUGUCAGUCUUGAGUGCACUAGAGGUAAGUGGAAUUUAUGGUGUAGCGGUGAAAUGCAUAGAUACCAUAAAGAACACCAAUAGCGAAGGCAGCUUACUAGAGUGUAACUGACGCUGAGGCACGAAAGCGUGGGGAGCGAACAGG